AAGUCGUAACAAGGUUUCCGUAGGUGAACCUGCGGAAGGAUCAUUCGUGUAUUGUAAAGUAAAGCGUGUUGAUGUGAUGCUCUACAUGUUGUUACUGUGCUGUUGGUGGGCCACUCCAGGACACUCUACACUGCGGUAUCCGGCAUUGUUUGAACCCAUCCGUCCUCAUGUCUAAACUCACACAUGUGUGCACCGUAAUUAGAGAUAAUAGUGACUGUGUGGUUGGUGUCCGACUCCGUGUCGGGUGCCUCUGCCAGUCCUAUGGUUUAUUGAACACUAUCAUUUUGAUACCACUUGACUGAGAACCGAUCGUAAGAGUGUAACGUAAUGCCUUGAGAAUACUUUUAGCAAUGGAUCUCUUGGCUCCU
This 368-nucleotide unclassified non-coding RNA is filed under the name fungal sp. Its description in RNAcentral is "partial internal transcribed spacer region". The stretch from base 1 to 46 matches the Rfam family "Eukaryotic small subunit ribosomal RNA", at positions 1786 to 1831 of the family's 1831-position model. The record is from RNAcentral. Lineage: Eukaryota; Fungi.